CUAAAUAACAAGAAGCUUUGUCGUAUUAACAGCGGAGUAUUUAUCAAAAUUCGAAAAAGGAUUAAGCACGUCAAAGAAUUUAAUGAUAAUCUGGUCACCUGAAUGAAAACGGAUGUUGAUAUAUUAUUGUGACGCACACAACAAAACAAGUACGACACAAACUAAACCUAAUCGUUGAACUUAUCGGAUUUUUAAUGGAAAACUAUAUUUGGAACUUGCGUCACAUCUUUUUCCUUGUGGCAACAAUUCAACUACCGCUCGCUAGGACGCUUUAUAAAGAUCUCAGUGGUAGAUGCUUAGCUACCAUAAAGUCAAAACAUUUUAAAACUCUGAUACCAAACAUAUCUUACAGAGCGACACCUUACCCAUAUGUGACAAAAAACAC
Long non-coding RNA from Dendronephthya gigantea, 385 nucleotides. RefSeq lists it as uncharacterized. The record is from RefSeq and is a predicted model, not a curated record. The transcript is spliced from 4 exons. NCBI's taxonomy places the organism in Eukaryota, Metazoa, Cnidaria, Anthozoa, Malacalcyonacea, Nephtheidae.